This 60-nucleotide transfer RNA is filed under the name Aegista diversifamilia. RNAcentral describes it as "tRNA-Trp". Lineage: Eukaryota; Metazoa; Mollusca; Gastropoda; Stylommatophora; Camaenidae. The record is from RNAcentral.
AAACCUAUAAGUUAUUUAAACUAUUAACCUUCAAAGUUGACAAUGCUAUUGCUUGGUUUG